RNAcentral lists this long non-coding RNA (287 nucleotides) under Homo sapiens (human). RNAcentral describes it as "HSALNT0159770". The record is from RNAcentral. Lineage: Eukaryota; Metazoa; Chordata; Mammalia; Primates; Hominidae.
AUCGAUUCUCAGUUCUUCCAAGUCACCAUUGCUGUGGAUUCCAGAAAGACUUCAAUGAAGAGUAGUGUAAGUUUCCUCAGUCUUCUCUACUCCAUAAGUCCUUUCUUCCCAGGGAGUCCUUGAUAUUUACCACGGUUCAAGCCUACAUCCCUGAGUAAGAAGAAUCCGCCUCCACGGAAGGAACAAGAGAACAUCCACCAAGCGAGCACCUGUCCAGAACAUUCUAUCUGGUUGCCCAGAGCAACUCAUGUUCCUCACAGUCUGCUUCACCCAUUUACCUUAGCUAC